GAUGAAGAACGCAGCGAAAUGCGACAAGUAAUGUGAAUUGCAGAAUUCCGUGAAUCAUCGAAUCUUUGAACGCACAUUGCGCCCGCUAGUAUUCUGGCGGGCAUGCCUGUCCGAGCGUCAUUUCAACCCUCAAGCCCUCGGGCUUGGUGUUGGGGAUCGGCGAGCCUCCGCGCCCGCCGUCCCCUAAAUCUAGUGGCGGUCUCGCUGUAGCUUCCUCUGCGUAGUAGCACACCUCGCACUGGGAAACAGCGCGGCCACGCCGUUAAACCCCCAACUUCUGAACGUUUGACCUCGGAUCAGGUAGGAAUACCCGCUGAACUUAAGCAUAUCAAUAAGCGGAGGA
Molecule: unclassified non-coding RNA, 343 nt
Filed under: soil metagenome
Description: partial contains 5.8S ribosomal RNA, internal transcribed spacer 2, and large subunit ribosomal RNA
Rfam family: 5.8S ribosomal RNA (bases 1-120)
Source: RNAcentral